UGUUCCACUACACUAGAUUUGAUGCCACUCAUUUAUGUCAUGAUGUUAUACGUGUCUCAAUACACUACAUUGACAUGCCACUCGUUCUUGUUAUAUUGUCUCUACUUUACUAGUCCAAUGCCACUUAUUAUGUCAUGAUGUUGUAUGUGUCUCAAUACACUAAAUUGACAUGCCACUCGUUCACAUUAUAGUAUCUCUACUAUACUAAUUCAAUGUCGCUUGUUUUCAUCAUCACAACUCCAAGUUCAUCAUCAUUCUUGUCACUAUAGGAUUCUUGUCACAUGACCCAAUCCUCAUGCAACAUAAGAUCAAGUGUCAAGCCCACAAUGCUACACAACAUAGGAAACAUGCAAGGAAUGGAAAUGUAAUCAUCUACUAAUCCUAUAAUGCAUAACAUCGAUAUAUGAAUAUGAUCAACCAUAUAGAACUUAGACAUAAAAGGAAGCCCGGUUGCUUCGGGAUGGACACCCCCCACCUUUUAUCGCGUUCCGAUUGCUUGUCGACACUUGCAAGCGGCCUCCCGCGGCACCCGUGAUCCGGUUCGGGCCACACUCUUGCGCGACCACCCGAACGGCCACCAAUCCACGAUCCGUCUAUUCUGGAGUUUAUUCCCCGAUACCACGAUGCUACGAUUCCAUUUUCAUGAUUUUUGGAAGCUUACGCCGCAAGCUACGACAAUCUAUACCUUAACGGCUUCGAUCCUCAAUAUCUCCGCGUACGCUCGUUGGAUCGCCGAACCGAGCGCACCGUUGCGUUCGUAGACCUACUAAUUAGGUUAGAGAAUGGUCAAUUGAGAUCAAAACCCCUUAUGAGAAAAAGCCCUCUUUUUGGAGCCCUAAUCCACCAUUGUUGCAAUUAGCUUCAUACAAACUAUUAUUCUUGCAAUAAAUGAGAUUUAAUACUCUUAGAGCAUCAAUAAACAUCAUCUAGCUAAGUUCAAAGAGGUCUAAGCCAUGCUCUAGUCAUUCACCAUGAGAGGCUCCAAGAGCUUACCUCAACUAGGUAGCAAAAAGAUGAAGAAGAUGAUGUUGGUCCUUCUCCAAACUCCAAUCUCCUUCUUUUCCUCCUCUUGAUCCCACCCUUGUAGAGAGAGGAAAAGCUUCUAGAGAGAGAGAGGGUGUUUGUUGGGUGGUUGCAAAUGAGAAAAAUGAGAGGAAAUGGGUUCUACACCUCUCUAAUAGCUCAAUUCGUGCAACAAUUACAAAACAACCACUCAACUUUGUAUUUUCUGCACUGCCCCCACGGGGGCCAUUUUUUGUAUAGGGGACCGGUCCCUGGCAGUGAGAGACCGGUCCCCGAACGUCCAGAAUUCCAGCAUUUUUAGGACUUAGCCAAAUUUCAGCCUUUUUCGUUUUCGGGGUCCGUUUUCGCUCGUUUUUGCUCGUUUGACCUCCGAUUCAUUUCAAAUCGAACCGAGACUCUCCAAACAUGUUUUCGAGCGUAUUUUCAUCAUCUUUUCAUCCGCGCUAAUGCCGGAUUUAGUCCAUGGUCCGACAUAGCCUUUCGGGUCCCGUUUUUGCGCCUACGCGCACCGAAACGCCCAAAUGCUUCCAAACUUCACCGAACUUCACCGGAACCAUUCAAAUGGCUUUCCAACCAAAUGUACACCGUAACUUCAUAACUUAGAAGUUCGUUAUCUUACA
Molecule: long non-coding RNA, 1643 nt
Filed under: Ananas comosus (pineapple)
Lineage: Eukaryota; Viridiplantae; Streptophyta; Magnoliopsida; Poales; Bromeliaceae
Description: long non-coding RNA (ACOM_LNC036414)
Source: RNAcentral